Non-coding RNA from Terrapene triunguis (Three-toed box turtle), 73 nucleotides. Lineage: Eukaryota; Metazoa; Chordata; Testudines; Emydidae. The record is from the annotation of a RefSeq genome assembly.
GGCUCUGUGGCGCAAUGGAUAGUGCAUUGGACUUCUAAUUCAAAGGUUGUGGGUUUGAGUCCCACCAGAGUCA